This is a non-coding RNA of Acanthosepion pharaonis, 110 nucleotides long. The record is from the annotation of a GenBank genome assembly. Lineage: Eukaryota; Metazoa; Mollusca; Cephalopoda; Sepiida; Sepiidae.
UACAGUCAUAUCACAUUGAAACACUGGUUUUCAUCCAAUCACCAAAGUUAAGCAACACUGAGCCUAGUCAGUACCUUGAUGGGUGACCACUUGGGAAUACCUGGCAGAUG